RNAcentral lists this ribosomal RNA (234 nucleotides) under uncultured bacterium. Its description in RNAcentral is "partial 16S ribosomal RNA". It matches the Rfam family "Bacterial small subunit ribosomal RNA", at positions 15 to 244 of the family's 1533-position model. The record is from RNAcentral.
GAUCCUGGCUCAGGAUGAACGCUAGCUACAGGCUUAACACAUGCAAGUCGAGGGGCAGCAUGACCUAGCAAUAGGUUGAUGGCGACCGGCGCACGGGUGAGUAACGCGUAUCCAACCUGCCCACCACUUGGGGAUAACCUUGCGAAAGUAAGACUAAUACCCAAUGACAUCCCACGAAGACAUCUGAAUGGGAUUAAAGAUUUAUCGGUGAUGGAUGGGGAUGCGUCUGAUUAG